This 477-nucleotide ribosomal RNA is filed under the name uncultured bacterium. RNAcentral describes it as "partial 16S ribosomal RNA". It matches the Rfam family "Bacterial small subunit ribosomal RNA", at positions 28 to 523 of the family's 1533-position model. The record is from RNAcentral.
GACGAACGCUGGCGGCGUGCUUAACACAUGCAAGUCGAACGGUGAAGCCCUUCGGGGUGGAUCAGUGGCGAACGGGUGAGUAACACGUGAGCAACCUGCCCCUGACUCUGGGAUAACUACCGGAAACGGUGGCUAAUACCGGAUAUUACUUGCCUGGGCAUCUGGGUGGGUGGAAAGUUUUUCGGUUGGGGAUGGGCUCGCGGCCUAUCGGCUUGUUGGUGGGGUGAUGGCCUACCAAGGCGACGACGGGUAGCCGGCCUGAGAGGGCGACCGGCCACACUGGGACGGAGACACGGCCCAGACUCCUACGGGAGGCAGCAGUGGGGAAUAUUGCGCAAUGGGCGAAAGCCUGACGCAGCGACGCCGCGUGGGGGAUGAAGGCCUUCGGGUUGUAAACCUCUUUCAGCAGGGAAGAAGCGUGAGUGACGGUACCUGCAGAAGAAGCACCGGCUAACUACGUGCCAGCAGCCGCCGUAA